Molecule: ribosomal RNA, 1251 nt
Filed under: bacterium
Lineage: Bacteria
Description: bacterial SSU rRNA
Rfam family: Bacterial small subunit ribosomal RNA
Source: RNAcentral
GUCGAGCGGGGGAAGGUAGCUUGCUACCGGACCUAGCGGCGGACGGGUGAGUAAUGCUUAGGAAUCUGCCUAUUAGUGGGGGACAACAUCUCGAAAGGGAUGCUAAUACCGCAUACGUCCUACGGGAGAAAGCAGGGGAUCUUCGGACCUUGCGCUAAUAGAUGAGCCUAAGUCGGAUUAGCUAGUUGGUGGGGUAAAGGCCUACCAAGGCGACGAUCUGUAGCGGGUCUGAGAGGAUGAUCCGCCACACUGGGACUGAGACACGGCCCAGACUCCUACGGGAGGCAGCAGUGGGGAAUAUUGGACAAUGGGGGGAACCCUGAUCCAGCCAUGCCGCGUGUGUGAAGAAGGCCUUAUGGUUGUAAAGCACUUUAAGCGAGGAGGAGGCUACUCUAGUUAAUACCUAGGGAUAGUGGACGUUACUCGCAGAAUAAGCACCGGCUAACUCUGUGCCAGCAGCCGCGGUAAUACAGAGGGUGCGAGCGUUAAUCGGAUUUACUGGGCGUAAAGCGUGCGUAGGCGGCUUAUUAAGUCGGAUGUGAAAUCCCCGAGCUUAACUUGGGAAUUGCAUUCGAUACUGGUGAGCUAGAGUAUGGGAGAGGAUGGUAGAAUUCCAGGUGUAGCGGUGAAAUGCGUAGAGAUCUGGAGGAAUACCGAUGGCGAAGGCAGCCAUCUGGCCUAAUACUGACGCUGAGGUACGAAAGCAUGGGGAGCAAACAGGAUUAGAUACCCUGGUAGUCCAUGCCGUAAACGAUGUCUACUAGCCGUUGGGGCCUUUGAGGCUUUAGUGGCGCAGCUAACGCGAUAAGUAGACCGCCUGGGGAGUACGGUCGCAAGACUAAAACUCAAAUGAAUUGACGGGGGCCCGCACAAGCGGUGGAGCAGGUGGUUUAAUUCGAUGCAACGCGAAGAACCUUACCUGGCCUUGACAUACUAGAAACUUUCCGAAAAUGGAUUGGUGCCUUCGGGAAUCUAGAUACAGGUGCUGCAUGGCUGUCGUCAGCUCGUGUCGUGAAAUGUUGGGUUAAGUCCCGCAACGAGGGCAACCCUUUUCCUUACUUGCCAGCAUUUCGGAUGGGAACUUUAAGGAUACUGCCAGUGACAAACUGGAAGAAAGGCGGGANCGACUUCAAGUCAUCAGGGCCCUUACGGCCAGGGCUACCCCNGUGCUACAAUGGUUCGGUNNAAAGGGUUGCUACACCGNNUUUUGNNGCUUAUCNNAAAAGCCCAUUUUUUUUCCCGGAUGGGAUC